This 497-nucleotide ribosomal RNA is filed under the name uncultured bacterium. Its description in RNAcentral is "partial 16S ribosomal RNA". It matches the Rfam family "Bacterial small subunit ribosomal RNA", at positions 28 to 507 of the family's 1533-position model. The record is from RNAcentral.
GAUGAACGCUGGCGGCGUGCCUAAUACAUGCAAGUCGAGCGAACAGACGAGGAGCUUGCUCCUCUGACGUUAGCGGCGGACGGGUGAGUAACACGUGGAUAACCUACCUAUAAGACUGGGAUAACUUCGGGAAACCGGAGCUAAUACCGGAUAAUAUAUUGAACCGCAUUGUUCAAUAGUGAAAGACGGUUUUGCUGUCACUUAUAGAUGGAUCCGCGCCGCAUUAGCUAGUUGGUAAGGUAACGGCUUACCAAGGCAACGAUGCGUAACCGACCUGAGAGGGUGAUCGGCCACACUGGAACUGAGACACGGUCCAGACUCCGACGGGAGGCAGCAGUAGGGAAGAGGCAGCAAUGGGCGAAAGCGUGACGGAGCAACGCCGCGUGAGUGAUGAAGGUCUUCGGAUCGUAAAACUCUGUUAUUAGGGAAGAACAAAUGUGUAAGUAACUAUGCACGUCUUGACGGUACCUAAUCAGAAAGCCACGGCUAACUACGUG